RNAcentral lists this ribosomal RNA (292 nucleotides) under uncultured bacterium. Its description in RNAcentral is "partial 16S ribosomal RNA". It matches the Rfam family "Bacterial small subunit ribosomal RNA", at positions 505 to 796 of the family's 1533-position model. The record is from RNAcentral.
GUGUCAGCAGCCGCGGUAAUACAGAGGGUGCAAGCGUUGUUCGGAAUUACUGGGCGUAAAGCGCGUGUAGGCGGUUUGAUAAGUCCUGUGUGAAAGCCCUGGGCUCAACCCAGGAAGUGCGCAGGAUACUGUCUGACUGGAGUGACGGAGAGGAUGGCGGAAUUCCCGGUGUAGAGGUGAAAUUCGUAGAUAUCGGGAGGAACACCUGUGGCGAAGGCGGCCAUCUGGACGUCAACUGACGCUGAGACGCGAAAGCAUGGGGAGCAAACAGGAUUAGAUACCCGUGUAGUCC